AUUAUUUUAUUAAGGCCAGCAGUUUUUACUUGAGUCUCUUAGAUCGUUCAGGUGUUCAAGCAUAUCAUCAUCAAGAAGAAGAGCUUGGCCAGGUGCCGUGGCUCACACAUAUAAUCCCAGCAGUUUGGGCAGCGGAUACAGGAGGAUCACUUGAGCCUAGGAGUUUGAGACCAAUCUGGGCAACAUAGUAAGACCCUCAUCUCUAUAAAAAAAUGUAAAAAUAAAAAAAGAAGGGGAAGCUCUGUAAUCCUUUUUUACCAAUGUUUACGCCAAUUAUUUCACUUUUAUUAUGUGCACAAGUGGGUGGCUACCUUCUCCUCUGUACCAUCUGUUAUUGGGGGCUGGGGGCUCCCGCCUUUCCCUGUGCUGUGGAAUAAGUGCAUUGGGUCAGACCUGUCUGUUCUCUGCAGGUAAGCAGAGCCCUGCUCUCCUCCUCCUCCCCACUGCCUUUGCUCAUGGCCUCGGCCGGGCCCUGCUGGAAACACCAGGUGCUCGCUCCCAGCAGAGGUUUGAACCUCUGUCCCUGCAAGCUUGGGGGUUGGGGUCCUGGCAGAUGAGGUACCAGGAGGCCCUUUGGGGGAGGCCCAGGCUCUUUGACUGAUGGUCUGCGGGUGUGAGCCCCCAAGUUCUAGGCCUGGGGGCCGAAAGGAAGAAGCUUCGAGGAAGAGUCAAGCAGGCCACCUUGGGCAUACGUGCUGUCACCCCGGGAUGCCCGCCCAGCGCGCCAAGCCCCCCACGCUCACCUGUAAGUGCAGGUGGUGCUGGAGGCCAGGCCGGGGCCCUGCAGGGGCAGGCACACAGUGGGGCUCCGUCGCCGCAGCGCCCCGGCGGCCUCCUCCUGGCCGCUGGCCCUCCCCUAAGGCUUCCUCAUCCUAAACAGCAAGUGAAGCCAAACGAAAACCCUGUCUCUCCCGCCGUUCCCUCCCUCCUGGCCUCCGUCCCCCGGGCUCGCCUGCCCCGCCGCCCGGCGGACCGGUCCCUUCCUGCUUUCCCUGGCGGGUGCUUUCCGCUGCUCUGUUACCCGGAGCCAGGACGCGCAUAUAUUCCCAGAAUCCGCGCUCAGUGCGUUCGGUCCCCCGGGACACCUGUUCUCUGCACAGGCGCGUCUGGGCGCAGCGGGGGCAGACACGCGUUCCCGGGCAGCGACUCCGGAAGGCCCGAGGGAGUAAAUCUGGCCCUCCCGGUUCAGCACAAAGCUCCCCUGGCCGCCUUUCAAAACCGACCGCCUCCCAACUCUCCGCGGACACGAGUGGCGGCUGCCUCCCCUCCCCUCCCCUAGGGCCGCGCACGCCUCCCGCAGGGUCUCAGUGCCUCCUGGGCGGGGGAUAAUUCCUGUCCCCACCGGUGUCCUGUACUCGCGGGGUCCCGGGUGUAAGUUCUGGGUCCCGGGCUGGCUCCCUGGUGAGCAAAGCCGCAUCGCUCGAAUUCCAGAAACCCUUCUCGCCGAGCGCCUGCCUGGCUGCUGAAAGCCUGGAGACUGCGCUCUCGGAGGUGGAUUUCGGAACUCAGGAGAGAAGAAUGAGACGCUCCCUAGUACCCCUAGUCCCCCAGGGGUGGGAGGGGACUGUAUCUCAAAAUAAGAUUCUGCAACUCGACUUUUAUAGGGGAAACCAGGCACGCAUUUCAAAAUCUUCUCAUCCGUCCCCACCUCCUUGCGCCGCUUUUCCGCGCCUCCUGUGCCACGGAAGCUGCCCUCUGCUCCUGCUGUUUCCAGCCCGGCAGCCCCCAGACAGGAUCUAGCUUGGCCCAGCCGGGCCCUGCUUCCUCUGCCUGGGGUCCUCAGGCCAUGCAAGUGAGGAAACCCAGGCUCAGAGGGGCCACGUAACUCUUCCCAAAUCACCAGCAAGCCUGGUGCAGCCACGGUGGCGCGCAUUCGCCCACUCGGAGACCGAGAGGCAGGUUUUCUGCCUGCACAGCCUCCCGCCCAAGGCCAGACCUGCUGGAGGCCCAGGCCCUGGAGAUGGCUGUCUUCAGGGAGACUCUUUAUGUCACGCUCAUUCACUCCCUAGCGCCUCUUUCUGGCAACGGAUGUGUCCAGCGUUCAGGUCUCUUAACUUACGGUCUCCGUUUUUCCAAGUUUGGAAAUCAGCUCAGAGCAGAGCGGGCAAAGAGGGGCUUUCACUGGUGCUCAGAGCUCACCUGCGAAGGAGGGACCACAGCCUCCGGGAUGCAGCGCCCUGGCUGCCUACUGCUGGCUGGCUGGCCCCUCCCCUGCAGAUUCCUCCUCACCCAGCCCCGCACAGGCUGAGGGCUUCACUAACCAGAACCAUAGUGUGACAAAUGCACACUGGGGGGUUACGGAGGAAGAGCAGAGUUGGGGUCAGAAGGCAUUUACCCUGAGAAAAAAGGGCACAUGGCACACAACCCAUGAAGGGAAGGGAGAGGAACAGCAUGUGCAAAAGCUCAGAGUUCAGAGUGGUGGCCUGGAGCUUAGCUGGAGUCAAAGGUGAUGGUGGGAGGUGAGGGUCUGGUGCAGGUGGUUCUCCCAAGCUGGGCUGAGCUGUAUGACUUGACCCUGAGGGGCAUGCGGGCCAGGCUGUGUUUUGUGGGGAGGCAGGAGCCAGGACACAGAUUGGGGGAAAGGGGUAAAGGAGCCUGGUCCCUGCGGCCGCCUGCUUACCUAGGACCUCAGGACUUGGGGAAUAAGUGGCCAUCCUUUGGAAUGCUCUCAAGGGAUCUCAGAUAAGGGGAGGCAGAAGAGUGUUCUGGAGAAAGCAGGGCCCAUCCUUCUCCACCCCACCACCCUCUCCCCAUGUCCCUGGAGCUGGCUCCUCUCCCACAAGCCAGGCCUGGCCAGCCCCUGGUAUCUCACCCUGCCAAAGAGCUAUGUAGUGGCAGUUCCACACCCUGUGCCCCUCCCCCACCCCACCCACAGUGAGGACCCCCUGGUGUUGGGGACACUCCGGGUCUGUGGGAUUUCUCCAGAAGCAGACUCAGACAGGGAUUGGCACCCACACUGAAAAGUUAACAUAGUCUAAAUAUGUGUGUCCCUCCCAAGUUCACAUGUGAUGGUGGUAUUAGGGGGUAGGGCCUUUGGGAGGUGAUUAGGUCAUGAGAGCACAGCCCUUAGGAAUGGCAAUAGUACCUUUAUAAAAAUGGCCCAAGAGAGAUCCCUCAUCCCUCCCACCAUGUGAGGACACAGUGAGAAGCCCCAUCUAUGGACCAGGAAGCAGCCCUCCCCAGACACUGCUGGGGCCUUGAUCUUGGACUCCACAGCCUCCAGAACAAUGAGAAUAAAUUUCUGUUGUUUGUAA
This is a long non-coding RNA of Homo sapiens (human), 3254 nucleotides long. The record is from Ensembl. NCBI's taxonomy places the organism in Eukaryota, Metazoa, Chordata, Mammalia, Primates, Hominidae.